RNAcentral lists this transfer RNA (71 nucleotides) under Paramoeba pemaquidensis. RNAcentral describes it as "tRNA-Ile". It matches the Rfam family "tRNA". From Rfam's summary of the family: Transfer RNA (tRNA) molecules are approximately 80 nucleotides in length. Their secondary structure includes four short double-helical elements and three loops (D, anti-codon, and T loops). Lineage: Eukaryota; Discosea; Flabellinia; Dactylopodida; Paramoebidae. The record is from RNAcentral.
UUUCCUAUAGUUUAAUGGUAAAACAUGCAUCUGAUAAGUGCGCGAUGGUAGUUCGAUUCCACCUAGGGAUA